GCUUGAGGACGAUCCAAGGCCAGGCGUGGUAGCAUGUGCCUGUAAUCCCAGUGCUUUGGGACACCGAGGCAGGAGGAUCACUCGAGCCCAGGAGUGCGAGGCUGCAGUGACGCUAGACUUCAGGAAGACCCCCCAUUUCUGCUCCACUCCUGGGCUUGGAGAAGAGUACAGCUGCUCUUGACUGGUGGGACCUUUUGCUGGCUAGGGGUGAUGGGAGAAGCAAGAGAGGGAUCCACACACCUGCGCUUAGCUUUCUAUGACCUUGGCGGGUGGAGGCCAAAGCUGCUAUCUUGGAUGACCCCAUGGAGUGCAGCAGAGGGGAGCGGCUCUCCAUCACCCUGGCCAAGAACCGCAUCAACCGUGCUCCUGAGAGGCUGGGCAAGGCCAAGGUCGAAGUGGACAUCUUUGAGCUUCUCAGAGACAGCGAGUACGAGACUGCAGAAACCAUGUGUCAGAUCCUCCCCAAGGGGGUGGUCGCUGUCCUCGGGCCAUCGUCCAGCCCAGCCUC
Molecule: small RNA, 508 nt
Filed under: Pan troglodytes (chimpanzee)
Lineage: Eukaryota; Metazoa; Chordata; Mammalia; Primates; Hominidae
Description: processed transcript
Source: RNAcentral